GAUGAAGAACGCAGCGAAAUGCGAUACUUGGUGUGAAUUGCAGAAUCCCGUGAACCAUCGAGUCUUUGAACGCAAGUUGCGCCCGAAGCCAUUAGGCCGAGGGCACGCCUGCCUGGGCGUCACACGUCGUUGCCCCCCCAUCUACUCCUUCGGGAUUGCGGGGGGCAGAUGAUGGCCUCCCGUGCGCCUCGUCGCGCGGUUGGCCUAAAUGCCAAGUCCUCGGCGACGCACGCCACGACAAUCGGUGGUUGCGAAACCUCGGUUGCCUGUCGUGUGCGGUCGUCGCGCAUCGAGGGCUCGAAAAAAUUGCCGGGCUUCGGCUCGACUUUCAACGCGACCCCAGGUCAGGCGGGGUUACCCGCUGAAUUUAAGCAUAUCAAUAAGCGGAGGA
This 391-nucleotide unclassified non-coding RNA is filed under the name soil metagenome. Its description in RNAcentral is "partial contains 5.8S ribosomal RNA, internal transcribed spacer 2, and large subunit ribosomal RNA". The stretch from base 1 to 122 matches the Rfam family "5.8S ribosomal RNA", at positions 35 to 154 of the family's 154-position model. The record is from RNAcentral.